AAAACCUUAUCAACAAGAAGUAGAGAAUUGGAUAUCGUAUGGCUCAAGAGUUAGAGAUUCAGAGUUGAAGUUCAGGUUUUUUCCAAGUGAAGAGUAGAUUUUCCUGAAUGAUUUUUCUCCCAAGUUUUUGAAGACUUCUUUUGAGGUACCCUUAGUUCGGGCAAGGAGUGAUGGCUAGGUUGGGGAAUGGUCAUCAUUAGGAUUUUGCUUAGGAUGUUAUUUUUGGACAUUAUUAGCUUAUAAGUUUAUGUUCAUUUGGAUUAUUUGGUUUUUGGAAGCUAUUUAGAUAUUGAACUUUUAAUUUUUUUAUUUUUAUUUUAUGAUAGUUUGAAGUUGAGAUUUGGAGAUUAUGAAAAUUUUUGUUAGCACUUUAAUUGUUUGAGUUUACAAUUUAUUUGGAUAAUGGAUUUUGGU
This is a long non-coding RNA of Vitis vinifera (wine grape), 414 nucleotides long. RefSeq lists it as uncharacterized. Lineage: Eukaryota; Viridiplantae; Streptophyta; Magnoliopsida; Vitales; Vitaceae. The record is from RefSeq and is a predicted model, not a curated record. The transcript has 3 exons.